Molecule: unclassified non-coding RNA, 212 nt
Filed under: Hevea brasiliensis (rubber tree)
Lineage: Eukaryota; Viridiplantae; Streptophyta; Magnoliopsida; Malpighiales; Euphorbiaceae
Source: RNAcentral
CUUGACCAUUUGAAGAAUGCAUUUGAGGAUGAGAUGGCAAAGUUUCCUUGGGAUUACUAGCAUGCGACUCUGUUAAGAACUAGAGUGAAUGGACAUUCAAUUUAUUGGGCUUGAUGGAAAUUAGAGGAAGGAGUAUUUUGAUGAGACUUCGAUAAUCUUGGUUGUUAUUAAGUAAUCAAUUGUAGCAGAUCGUCAUACAUUUAACAUUUGAC